GAGGGGCGGUUCAACCAACAAGAACUGCUAAUUCUUGUAUCUGAG
Molecule: transfer RNA, 45 nt
Filed under: Pinguinus impennis (great auk)
Lineage: Eukaryota; Metazoa; Chordata; Aves; Charadriiformes; Laridae
Description: partial tRNA-Ser
Source: RNAcentral